Molecule: transfer RNA, 85 nt
Filed under: Felis catus (domestic cat)
Lineage: Eukaryota; Metazoa; Chordata; Mammalia; Carnivora; Felidae
Rfam family: tRNA
About the family: Transfer RNA (tRNA) molecules are approximately 80 nucleotides in length. Their secondary structure includes four short double-helical elements and three loops (D, anti-codon, and T loops).
Source: Rfam by way of RNAcentral
GCCUGGGUGGCUCAGUCGGUUGAGCGUCCGACUUCGGUUCAGGUCAUGAUCUCUCGGUUCGUGGGUUCGAGCCCCGCAUCGGGCU